RNAcentral lists this ribosomal RNA (227 nucleotides) under uncultured Porphyrobacter sp. RNAcentral describes it as "partial 16S ribosomal RNA". It matches the Rfam family "Bacterial small subunit ribosomal RNA", at positions 1156 to 1382 of the family's 1533-position model. The record is from RNAcentral. Lineage: Bacteria; Pseudomonadati; Pseudomonadota; Alphaproteobacteria; Sphingomonadales; Erythrobacteraceae.
UGAUAAGCCGGAGGAAGGUGGGGAUGACGUCAAGUCCUCAUGGCCCUUACAGGCUGGGCUACACACGUGCUACAAUGGCAUCUACAGUGGGCAGCUAUUCCGCAAAGGAUGCGCUAAUCUCCAAAAGAUGUCUCAGUUCGGAUUGUCCUCUGCAACUCGAGGGCAUGAAGGCGGAAUCGCUAGUAAUCGCGGAUCAGCAUGCCGCGGUGAAUACGUUCCCAGGCCUU